AGUGAACGCUGGCGGUAGGCCUAACACAUGCAAGUCGAACGGCAGCACAGUAAGAGCUUGCUCUUACGGGUGGCGAGUGGCGGACGGGUGAGGAAUACAUCGGAAUCUACUUUUUCGUGGGGGAUAACGUAGGGAAACUUACGCUAAUACCGCAUACGACCUACGGGUGAAAGAAGGGGAUCUUCGGACCUUGCGCGAUUGAAUGAGCCGAUGUCGGAUUAGCUAGUUGGCGGGGUAAAGGCCCACCAAGGCGACGAUCCGUAGCUGGUCUGAGAGGAUGAUCAGCCACACUGAAACUGAGACACGGUCCAAACUCCUACGGGAGGCAGCAGUGGGGAAUAUUGGACAAUGGGCGCAAGCCUUAUCCAGCCAUACCGCGUGGGUGAAGAAGGCCUUCGGGUUGUAAAGCCCUUUUGUUGGGAAAGAAAAGCAGCAGGUUAAUACCCCGCUGUUCUGACGGUACCCAAAGAAUAAGCACCGGCUAACUUCGUG
RNAcentral lists this ribosomal RNA (492 nucleotides) under uncultured bacterium. Its description in RNAcentral is "partial 16S ribosomal RNA". It matches the Rfam family "Bacterial small subunit ribosomal RNA", at positions 29 to 507 of the family's 1533-position model. The record is from RNAcentral.